UUGAGUUUGACACCCCUGUUCUAGAUAUACAGAUGCUUCUCACACUAUUUUAGUCUAGUAUCAACGUUUGGCCCCAAAUGUUUUAUGAUUAAAAGACCCAAACUAAAUUAAUUAGUGUAACCACAAGCUACAGAUGCAAUAUUCUGACACCAUCUUAAAUCAUCUAGCAUAUAAAUAAAGAACAGGCCAUGGGAAAUGUCAUUAAAAGGGUGGGAAACAGAUGCUUUUUGAAACUGCUAUAAAAUACUAAUAAAAAAUGAACGUCCUAAUGUAAUCUUAUGGGGCACAUAUUUCUGAGCAAUGUCAAAAAGGACUCCAGCGGCAUGAAUCACCCCUCAUAUAGACAAGCCCGAACUAUCGCGCCGCUCUCCCGCUCCGCCUAAAAAUCAAUUAUACAACCACCUGAACCGGACCGAACUACACUAAUCCCGACUCCACUCAACUUGGGACGUCGAGUCACCGCGCAGAACUAGUCUGAGCGGAUUGUGUAACCCGGCUAAUUCCUGGAGGAUACCGUGAGUUGUUUUAAAGUGAUAGAAAUGUCCCCCCCUUUUUUUUUUACCCCCCUCUAUCGUUGUUUAACAGUCGAUGGGAGAAGCUAACAGGGGAAAAGGUCAAAGUGCCGCGUGACCACAACUAGUCCUAGCUAAACAGCCUACGUGACGUCGACGCAGGGGUAGUUUGCGAUAGUUAAUCGAUACCAUGCGGGCAAAUCACGGCGGCUAAGCGGGAAAACGGACGCUAUCGGCCCCGCAUCCGUCAGGAAUUCAAAACACCAGGAACUCCUUGAUUAAUGAGGUUGACUCCAAAAUGUUUGUACAAUGGGCCUAAGACACUGACCCCUAUUAAAGAGCAGCUCAGACAUUUGAGGGCUGGAACGGCGGAGGUGGAUCAGCUGAUUGAGGGGCCGUCACCAGGCAGCUGAUGCUAACAUGGAUAAGAGAGGAGAGAGACACGCCGAGGCGACUGUUGUUCUUUCAGAGCUUUUCUUCUAAUGUGUUGUUGGGUUUCUCUCCAUUUCCUUGUUUAGUCUUCUUGUUGCGUGCCG
Oryzias melastigma (Indian medaka) is the source of this 1048-nucleotide long non-coding RNA. RefSeq lists it as uncharacterized. The record is from RefSeq and is a predicted model, not a curated record. The transcript has 3 exons. NCBI's taxonomy places the organism in Eukaryota, Metazoa, Chordata, Actinopteri, Beloniformes, Adrianichthyidae.